AUACGGAGGGUGCGAGCGUUAAUCGGAAUUACUGGGCGUAAAGCGUGCGUAGGCGGUUUGUUAAGUCAGAAGUGAAAGCCCUGGGCUCAACCUGGGAACGGCUUUUGAGACUGGCAGACUCGAGUUGAGUAGAGGGGAGUGGAAUUUCCGGUGUAGCGGUGAAAUGCGUAGAGAUCGGAAGGAACACCAGUGGCGAAGGCGACUCCCUGGACUCAAACUGACGCUGAGGUACGAAAGCGUGGGUAGCAAACAGAAUUAGAAACCCUAGUAGUCC
This 274-nucleotide ribosomal RNA is filed under the name uncultured bacterium. RNAcentral describes it as "partial 16S ribosomal RNA". It matches the Rfam family "Bacterial small subunit ribosomal RNA", at positions 523 to 796 of the family's 1533-position model. The record is from RNAcentral.